CUUGCACCCAAACCCCAAAAGAUCUUUGUUUUUCCUUAACAAUGAUUUUUUUAGGGGGUGCAAACAGCAAAAGGGCCUUGUCGCCUUUCUGGAGCUGAUAAAAGUGCCCCAGAAAGUGAAGUCAUGGGUUCUACAUUC
Gracilinanus agilis (Agile Gracile Mouse Opossum) is the source of this 138-nucleotide small nucleolar RNA. RefSeq annotates it as small nucleolar RNA SNORA68. The transcript has a single exon. The record is from RefSeq and is a predicted model, not a curated record. Lineage: Eukaryota; Metazoa; Chordata; Mammalia; Didelphimorphia; Didelphidae.